Molecule: ribosomal RNA, 827 nt
Filed under: Lepanus ustulatus
Lineage: Eukaryota; Metazoa; Arthropoda; Insecta; Coleoptera; Scarabaeidae
Description: SSU rRNA
Rfam family: Eukaryotic small subunit ribosomal RNA
Source: RNAcentral
ACGAAAAAUAACGAUACGGGACUCAUCCGAGGCCCCGUAAUCGGAAUGAGUACACUCUAAACCCUUUAACGAGGAUCAAUUGGAGGGCAAGUCUGGUGCCAGCAGCCGCGGUAAUUCCAGCUCCAAUAGCGUAUAUUAAAGUUGUUGCGGUUAAAAAGCUCGUAGUCGAAUUUGUGUCCCGCGCCGCCGGUUCAUCGCUCGCGGUGUCAACUGGCGUGUCCGCGGGACGUCCUGCCGGUGGGCUUAGCCCCCCGUGGGCGGCCCAAUCUCAAUCCCACCGCGGUGCUCUUCACUGAGUGUCGAGGUGGGCCGGCACGUUUACUUUGAACAAAUUAGAGUGCUUAAAGCAGGCUAAAACAUCGCCUGAAUACUGUGUGCAUGGAAUAAUGGAAUAGGACCUCGGUUCUAUUUUGUUGGUUUUCGGAACCCCGAGGUAAUGAUUAAUAGGAACGGAUGGGGGCAUUCGUAUUGCGACGUUAGAGGUGAAAUUCUUGGAUCGUCGCAAGACGGACAGAAGCGAAAGCAUUUGCCAAAAACGCUUUCAUUGAUCAAGAACGAAAGUUAGAGGUUCGAAGGCGAUCAGAUACCGCCCUAGUUCUAACCAUAAACGAUGCCAGCUAGCGAUCCGCCGACGUUCCUCCGAUGACUCGGCGGGCAGCUUCCGGGAAACCAAAGCUUUUGGGUUCCGGGGGAAGUAUGGUUGCAAAGCUGAAACUUAAAGGAAUUGACGGAAGGGCACCACCAGGAGUGGAGCCUGCGGCUUAACUUGACUCAACACGGGAAACCUCACCAGGCCCGGACACCGGAAGGAUUGACAGAUUGAGAGC